RNAcentral lists this ribosomal RNA (603 nucleotides) under uncultured Geobacteraceae bacterium. RNAcentral describes it as "bacterial SSU rRNA". It matches the Rfam family "Bacterial small subunit ribosomal RNA", at positions 1 to 600 of the family's 1533-position model. The record is from RNAcentral. Lineage: Bacteria; Pseudomonadati; Thermodesulfobacteriota; Desulfuromonadia; Geobacterales; Geobacteraceae.
YUKYWGRRKKCGCCCUUAGAGUUUGAUCCUGGCUCAGAACGAACGCUGGCGGCGUGCCUAACACAUGCAAGUCGAACGUGAUUGGGGAGCUUGCUCCUCAUGAAAGUGGCGCACGGGUGAGUAACGCGUAGAUAAUCUACCUGAUGAUCCGGGAUAACACUUCGAAAGGGGUGCUAAUACCUGAUAAGCCCACGGAGUCCUUGGACUCUGCGGGAAAAGGGGGGGAUCGCAAGACCUUCCGUCAUCAGAUGAGUCUGCGUACCAUUAGCUAGUUGGUACGGUAAAGGCCUACCAAGGCGACGAUGGUUAGCUGGUCUGAGAGGAUGAUCAGCCACACUGGAUUGAGACACGGUCCAGACUCCUACGGGAGGCAGCAGUGGGGAGUUUUGCGCACUGGGGACACCCUGACGCAGCAACGCCGCGUGAGUGAUGAAGCCUUGGUCGUAAGCUCUGACAGAGAAAGAGUGCAGGAGCUAUACCUCCUUGCUGACGUACCUCAAGAGCACGGCUACUCGUGCAGCAGCGCGUAUACAGACGAUCAGCACACUGCGCAGUUACUAGUGAUCGAGCUCGUACAGCUGCGUAUCAUGUCUASUGGUUYCG